This 1517-nucleotide ribosomal RNA is filed under the name Helicobacter pylori 2018. Its description in RNAcentral is "SSU rRNA". It matches the Rfam family "Bacterial small subunit ribosomal RNA". Lineage: Bacteria; Pseudomonadati; Campylobacterota; Epsilonproteobacteria; Campylobacterales; Helicobacteraceae. The record is from RNAcentral. RNAcentral also lists the same sequence under 1 other name.
CUUUUAUGGAGAGUUUGAUCCUGGCUCAGAGUGAACGCUGGCGGCGUGCCUAAUACAUGCAAGUCGAACGAUGAAGCUUCUAGCUUGCUAGAAGUGGAUUAGUGGCGCACGGGUGAGUAACGCAUAGGUCAUGUGCCUCUUAGUUUGGGAUAGCCAUUGGAAACGAUGAUUAAUACCAGAUACUCCCUACGGGGGAAAGAUUUAUCGCUAAGAGAUCAGCCUAUGUCCUAUCAGCUUGUUGGUAAGGUAAUGGCUUACCAAGGCUAUGACGGGUAUCCGGCCUGAGAGGGUGAACGGACACACUGGAACUGAGACACGGUCCAGACUCCUACGGGAGGCAGCAGUAGGGAAUAUUGCUCAAUGGGGGAAACCCUGAAGCAGCAACGCCGCGUGGAGGAUGAAGGUUUUAGGAUUGUAAACUCCUUUUGUUAGAGAAGAUAAUGACGGUAUCUAACGAAUAAGCACCGGCUAACUCCGUGCCAGCAGCCGCGGUAAUACGGAGGGUGCAAGCGUUACUCGGAAUCACUGGGCGUAAAGAGCGCGUAGGCGGGAUAGUCAGUCAGGUGUGAAAUCCUAUGGCUUAACCAUAGAACUGCAUUUGAAACUACUAUUCUAGAGUGUGGGAGAGGUAGGUGGAAUUCUUGGUGUAGGGGUAAAAUCCGUAGAGAUCAAGAGGAAUACUCAUUGCGAAGGCGACCUGCUGGAACAUUACUGACGCUGAUUGCGCGAAAGCGUGGGGAGCAAACAGGAUUAGAUACCCUGGUAGUCCACGCCCUAAACGAUGGAUGCUAGUUGUUGGAGGGCUUAGUCUCUCCAGUAAUGCAGCUAACGCAUUAAGCAUCCCGCCUGGGGAGUACGGUCGCAAGAUUAAAACUCAAAGGAAUAGACGGGGACCCGCACAAGCGGUGGAGCAUGUGGUUUAAUUCGAAGAUACACGAAGAACCUUACCUAGGCUUGACAUUGAGAGAAUCCGCUAGAAAUAGUGGAGUGUCUAGCUUGCUAGACCUUGAAAACAGGUGCUGCACGGCUGUCGUCAGCUCGUGUCGUGAGAUGUUGGGUUAAGUCCCGCAACGAGCGCAACCCCCUUUCUUAGUUGCUAACAGGUCAUGCUGAGAACUCUAAGGAUACUGCCUCCGUAAGGAGGAGGAAGGUGGGGACGACGUCAAGUCAUCAUGGCCCUUACGCCUAGGGCUACACACGUGCUACAAUGGGGUGCACAAAGAGAAGCAAUACUGCGAAGUGGAGCCAAUCUUCAAAACGCCUCUCAGUUCGGAUUGUAGGCUGCAACUCGCCUGCAUGAAGCUGGAAUCGCUAGUAAUCGCAAAUCAGCCAUGUUGCGGUGAAUACGUUCCCGGGUCUUGUACUCACCGCCCGUCACACCAUGGGAGUUGUGUUUGCCUUAAGUCAGGAUGCUAAAUUAGCUACUGCCCACGGCACACACAGCGACUGGGGUGAAGUCGUAACAAGGUAACCGUAGGUGAACCUGCGGUUGGAUCACCUCCUUUCUAGAGAAAAGC